AAUGACUGAAUGUGAUUCGGUGAAUAAAUAUGUUUUGUUCAAGUGUUGACACCUGAAGGCUUCGUCCCUCAGACCGAACCGGAUCCAAUUCUCCAGAUCUGAUAGAAGAGAUUGAAAUUGUAAACUUUGAUGAAGAGGAAAAUCUACUCGGACUUGGACCAACAGUGGACUUUGUGGAGGAGCAGUGGUCUGAUUUUCAUAAUUACACUUCAACCAUCAGAUGAGACACAGAAGAGCAGCUGUGUGGUUUGCUGUUGUGUUGUAAACCACAGUCUGAGUAUUGAUUACCUGAGGAUUUAAUUGUGUGCUUUUGGGAGCUCCUCCAUUGGAGCAUGACAUCAUAUCCUAGCUUUUCCAUUAACGUCUGAAAACAAAGAGAUUUUAAACUUGUCUGAGCUCAAACCAGUGUCCAGCAUCAGGAGAGAGAAGCAGUUUCUCCUGCAGGUUUAUUAGACAGUGACAGACUGAGCACCAGAGGAUCCCUGACAACCAGUCCGUCUCACAUCCUGCCUGUCUGCUGACCUCUAAUGCACGGAGGAGAGAGCCGGGGAGGGGAUCGUUCGAAGAGGCUUAUGUGCCUCUCGCUCGUCAUGUAAACAUUUGCAAACUCCAAUGAAAAUCAAUAGCAGAGAGGAGAAAUUCCAGUAACUCUGUAUCCGUGCACACAGCUUGUCUUACAGCGGAAGCCUGGGCCCGGUGACAGACACAUUAACAUAAAGAGCCAUGAAACAUGGUCUGCAUGAAAACUGGAGUUUGACCAGUUUUAUUUUAAACUGUUUGAUAAAAGUCUCUUUUUUUUAAAUGACUGCUUCAU
Long non-coding RNA from Paralichthys olivaceus (Japanese flounder), 814 nucleotides. RefSeq lists it as uncharacterized. NCBI's taxonomy places the organism in Eukaryota, Metazoa, Chordata, Actinopteri, Pleuronectiformes, Paralichthyidae. The record is from RefSeq and is a predicted model, not a curated record.